Molecule: non-coding RNA, 416 nt
Organism: Paramuricea clavata
Lineage: Eukaryota; Metazoa; Cnidaria; Anthozoa; Malacalcyonacea; Plexauridae
Source: the annotation of a GenBank genome assembly
CUUGGGGGAUGAAUAGCGUGAUAUUAGGGGAUCAGAAUGGUACCAAAGUUGCCAUGACUACCUUUAUUGUUUUGCCGCUUUCGUGCAUUCUUUGAGAGCAAUUUCGCAAACAAUGGCGCAUCGAAGCCAAAAUGUUAAAAUUGAUGAAUUUCGGCUUCGAAUAACUUUUGUUUUUAAGGCCAUCCUUUUAUAAUAUUUGGUAGGACUAAAUUUAUAGCCUUUAUCUAAAUUCCUACCGAAGCACUUUACUCGAUUUCGUCUUUGAUCGCAGUAAAAAUGCAUUUGAAUAAGGCCACCAAAUACAGCGUUUCGAUGUCAACGCUAAUAAUAUAACGUUUAGCGUCUGAGGUUGCGGUCAAAAGAAAGAUGGAAUUAUCGACCAAGACACAGGAAUUGAGGAGAUUAGACGAAAAGGU